Molecule: long non-coding RNA, 14446 nt
Filed under: Arabidopsis thaliana (thale cress)
Lineage: Eukaryota; Viridiplantae; Streptophyta; Magnoliopsida; Brassicales; Brassicaceae
Description: long non-coding RNA (ATHA_LNC000706)
Source: RNAcentral
UGAACACUGUGAAAUCGCUCCCGGAGUUAACUGAGCGAAAGAAAGUGAUUGACAAACACACCAAUAUCGCAACAGCGCUCUUAGGACAGAUCAAGGAGAGAUCUAUUGACGCUUUCACUAAGAAAGAAAGCGACAUGAUGAUGAGGGGCGGAAUCGACAGAACUGAACUUAUGGCUGCUCUGAAAGGCAAAGGGACAAAGAUGGACAAGCUCCGGUUUGCAAUCAUGUACCUGAUCUCCACAGAAACCAUAAACCAAUCGGAAGUUGAAGCAGUGGAGGCAGCAUUGAAUGAAGCUGAGGCUGAUACAAGUGCGUUUCAGUAUGUAAAGAAAAUCAAAUCGUUAAACGCAUCUUUUGCAGCUACAUCAGCGAAUUCAGCUAGCAGAAGCAACAUUGUAGACUGGGCCGAGAAGCUUUACGGACAGUCUAUAAGCGCAGUGACUGCAGGAGUCAAGAAUCUGUUAUCUAGUGAUCAACAAUUGGCAGUGACUCGAACAGUCGAAGCUUUAACAGAAGGAAAACCAAACCCGGAGAUCGAUUCUUACCGCUUCCUGGACCCAAGAGCUCCAAAGUCGUCUAGCUCCGGUGGUAGCCAUGUAAAAGGACCGUUCAGAGAAGCUAUAGUGUUCAUGAUCGGUGGAGGUAACUAUGUUGAGUAUGGAAGUUUGCAGGAGUUGACUCAGAGACAGUUAACCGUUAAAAACGUUAUUUAUGGAGCCACUGAGAUUCUUAACGGAGGUGAGUUGGUGGAGCAGCUUGGACUUUUGGGAAAGAAGAUGGGAUUAGGAGGUCCGGUCGCUUCAACGUCAUUGUCUGGUGGUCACUGAGUGUUACUCACUGUUACUUUCUUUUUUCUUUUGGCUUUUGAGAGUUUUUUUUUAUUAAUCUAUAAAAUAUAAAUCCCCAGUGGUGAAUUAUUUAACAAACAGUUUACAGUCUCGUUAUAACAUUUUCUACAGAACAUUUUAAGGUGUGUUUAUAACUCCAUUAGUUAAGAUUGUUAAAUGGUUUUUGUCAUAAUCUUUGAAAAAGUAAAUGACAAUUAGCUAGGUUGUCAUUAAUAAUAAAAAUAAAUAAAAAGGUAUGAACAAAAGUCUGAAAAAGAAAUUUGUAAUCUAACAUUACUAAUUUCUAAUUAACAUUUUUUAUGCCAUUUAGUACAGUGUUUUUCCAAAAUAAAAUAUACUCCUAUGAUAUUUUGCAUAAGAAUAUAUUAUACUAAAAAAGAGAAGAGGAAAAAAGCAAAAAAUCAAAAGAAAAAAAAAAAGUAAAGGAGCAACAAAAGCAAAGCAGGUGGUCCGUUCCCAUUUCUCUGUAAUUUGUCUUCGUCUCUACCUUCCAUCUCUCUCACCCACUCUCCUCGGAAACCACAGCGACGGACGGACGGACGGACGAUAAAACUUUUGCCUCUAAUUUGCUCCUACAAAUCUGGAAUCAGCCGGAGCGAAUCUCGAAGCUUAUGAUCUCGACUUGUGAGGAUCCUCUUUUCCUUUUCUUUUUCUUUUGUAUAAUAAUAAUUAUCUCAUCCCCGAUCGAUUUCGAUUUUCAUAUGGUUUCUCGCCAGAAAUGAUCGAUUCUCUCGUUUAUUUCAAUAGCCUCAGAUGAUUGAAGAUGAUAAUUCAACAGUUAAUAACGCUUCUCUUUUUUUUAGUGGCUUUGUGUUUUGACCAGCCAAUCUAAAUCACUGGUCACCUUUGUUUUGAUCUCUGUUUUGUUGAAUUUUUGUUUCAAACUUAAACGAAGCUAAAAGGCUAAUGGGUUGGUCUUAAUUCUGAAUUUUGAGAGAGUUUUAAAAUCAUCUUUUAUGAGCUAAGCCAUGUUUGAAGCUAGAUCUGCCUUUAACUUUGGUUUUGGUUUUAAACUUUUUUGUUUCUAACUUGUUGUAGGCUGAAGAGGCUGGGAAUGGCUGGUAAAGAGGAGACUGAUGUAUCUGCACAAGGGUCUUUAACCAGGGAGGCCACUGAGAUAUGGAGGAGUGAGUUGGAAUCUCGCCGGUUUCAGGUAGAUAGUUUAGAAGCUGAACUUGUGGAUGUCAAGGCUUACCUUGAGUUUGGCUCAGAAGAAGAUGCCAGAAAGGAGUUAGGAGUUCUUUCGGGUAGGGUCAGAUCGACUGCAACUAUGUUGCGUUAUUUGAGAUCAAAAGCUAGAGUCUUGGCCAUUCCUGAUGAUCUAGCAAAUGUGUCAUGCGGUGUGGAACAGAUUGAAGAACUGAAAGGAUUGAACCUUGUUGAGAAAGAUGGUGGUUCAUCUUCUUCUGACGGGGCUAGGAACACUAAUCCUGAAACUAGAAGGUACAGUGGUUCCUUGGGUGUAGAGGAUGGAGCCUAUACUAAUGAGAUGCUCCAGUCCAUAGAGAUGGUUACUGAUGUGCUGGACUCUCUUGUGAGGAGGGUUACAGUAGCAGAAUCUGAGUCUGCUGUUCAAAAGGAGAGGGCACUUUUGGGAGAGGAAGAAAUCAGUAGGAAGACUAUCCAAAUCGAAAAUUUGUCCGUGAAGUUAGAAGAGAUGGAACGAUUUGCUUAUGGGACUAAUAGUGUUCUAAACGAAAUGCGGGAAAGGAUUGAGGAAUUAGUUGAAGAGACGAUGAGGCAGAGGGAAAAAGCUGUGGAAAACGAAGAGGAGUUGUGUCGUGUGAAGAGAGAGUUCGAGUCGCUUAAAAGCUACGUCAGUACUUUUACCAAUGUUCGAGAAACACUUCUUUCGUCCGAGAGACAAUUCAAAACCAUUGAGGAGCUCUUUGAACGGUCAGUCUCAUAUCUUCUUUAUGCAACUGUUCCAUCACUCCUUAACCACAAAGAUUUAAUAUUUUCUUCACCACACCACAAUAUGUUAAUGGUGAAGCAGGUUGGUCACUAAGACGACACAAUUAGAAGGGGAGAAGGCACAAAAGGAGGUUGAAGUACAGAAACUGAUGGAGGAGAAUGUGAAAUUGACAGCACUUCUCGACAAGAAAGAGGCUCAGCUUCUAGCUUUGAAUGAACAAUGCAAAGUUAUGGCUUUGAGUGCAUCAAACAUAUGAAAUUUGCUUUAUCUUUGCAUUGUUGUUGGCUCAUCUCUUAUUUUUUUCUUGAGACAAUGCUUUCGCAGAAGUAGAUGAAUGCAAUCUUCUUCCUUCAUUGUUCUUUGCUUCAAAUGUGACAUUGUAAUUUUUUAUCUGUAGAUUAUUAUGGUUUAUGCAUAAGGAAGAAUGUUCGUACUCCGAAACGGCGAGUAGUUCUUACGUCUGUAUAUCAGACGGCAAGAAUUUGCCAUCGUAGCAAAUUCGUGUAUGACGUGGCAAAUAGAAUUAGCCAACGUCUUUUAUCCACGUGUAAAUACGAUCGCUCUGUUUUCGUAGACUUUGUGUUGAAGAAGUUUCUCUCUAAAACCCCAAAUCUAUUUUUCCCUCCUUUGCGAGAAAUUAAUCGGAGAAAGAAAAAAGUUGACUAGUGCGAUUUUGAGCAAUUUCUUCGUUUCCAUGGAGUCGGAUAUCGAGAUUUUGUCUGAAGCUGAUGCGUCUAUGCGGAAGCUACGCAUUUUCGGAAUUGAUGAUCGCGAAGAUGAGGUAUUGUUUUCUAUUGUCGAUAAACCCUAAAAAAAAUGCCACCUUUGAUUGUUUCUCCGAUGAUUGAUUUUUAGGUUUUCGUUUUCGUUUUCGUUGUUGUGAUUCUGGAACACGAAGGUAGUUCUUUGGUUCUGUAUGAAAUUAUGAAAAUCGGACAUUGUCAUUUUGUUUAGAAUGUCUUCGGAAAUUUUGAAAUGUUCCUGUUUCUGAUUUUUUUUUUCUGUGAUUUGAUAGAAUGGGAGAAGAAGAAUCAAAGAUGUUGAAGUUUAUGUUCCGAUUGUGUGUGGAUCGAUUGCUUUUUAUCUUGGAAAGAAAGCCACAGAGUUAGUGUUUCUAUCUCUUUUAUUCAUGUUGCAAUUUCCAUGAGUUACGGUAAUGCUGCAAUCUUUGAACUUUUUUGGUUCUAAUGUUUUCAUCAACUAGAUAUCGAACACAUAAGUGGACUGUUUAUGUACGUGGAGCUACGAAUGAGGAUCUUGGUGUGGUUAUCAAGCGGGUUAUCUUCCAUUUGCAUCCAAGUUUUAAUAAUCCAACUAGAGUGGUUGAUGCUCCUCCCUUUGCAUUGUCUGAGUGUGGUUGGGGAGAAUUCAAAAUCGACAUAACCGUUUUCUUCCAUACCGAUGUCUGUGAAAAGAAGUUGGAGUUGUGAGUUUCCCUUGUGAUUGUGAAUUUCAGUGGAGUAAGUUGGUUUAUAUCUCUUACGUUUUAGUAUUGAACUUCUUUCCAGGUCUCACGUCUUAAAGCUGAACCCGGAGAAUGCAUAUGGUCCUAUUCCUAAGUCUAUUAAGAUACCCGUUGUCGCUGAGUCUUACAAUGAAGUUGUCUUUCCAGACCCUUUUGAGAGUUUUGUCGCCCGUGUUCAUAAUCACCCGGCUAUACAGAUCUCUAACAUCCCAGAUGGUUUGAACCUGCCUCCUCCAGGUGCAUUCUUGUUCUGACUUCUAAUGAAUUAAUAAUUAUUGCCGGAGGCAUAAUAAUUCUCGCAUUGCAAUGUUUUAGGAGUUGCUGACACUUAUUAUCUGAUGGAAAAAGGAGACACUAAGGAACAUCCACUCAGUCCAUGGUUUUUGAAGUUUUCAGAAGUAGAAGAGCUUUUUAAACUUACUGCAGCUCGUCAGAAGGUUUCUGCAGCCCAACUUACCUUUUCAUUGUUACCACUUUAUAAAUUUAAUUGGUCUCACAUUUUUGAAAAACUCACAAUAGUUUUAACGUGGAUUUCUUAGACGAUACAGCUACAAUUUCCUCUGCUCAAACUUAAAUAGUAGUAGUUAAGACAUUGGGCGUAUUCUUGUUUGGCUUUGUCUUGAUUUUAUAGGAUUGUGUUAGAAAUUCUUAUUAACUGACUGUGUUUACAAUGUAAUUAUAGGUACAAGCUGAUAUUGCCAAGCUAAAAAGACAGUUGAUAAUGGUAGAUGGGCAACCUGAAGGACUUGAGUCUUCCUCUGGCUAUGAAUGUUAAUGAUCAUACCACAACAGAGAUGAGGUUGCUCAGAAAGUUUUUGUGAUAACUGUUAACAGAUCUCGAUGGGGGUUAAAAAACCUUAGAUAUCUUAUUAUCUGAACACCUUUUCUAACUGAUAGAACAUGUAAAAAAGAACCAAUUUGUAGUCAAUAUCGGUGUGUGUACCUACAAAGCACAAAAUGCAUUUGCUCAGUUUGUUUGCUUCUUUGUUUCCAGUUUCUCUCAGACUUGAGCAUCACAGGUUUGUUAUGAAAACACAACUUUAACUUAAUGUUUCUUCUAAAUGGUUUGUUUGCAUACAUGAUGUUGUAUGACAUAGUAUCCUAAAGGUGAAGCUCUGUAUCUUUCAUGCUUUCUUUGUAUAGCCGAUGGAGGCGGUGCGAAACUGGUAUUUGCCUUUUUCUCUUCUAUAUAUGUAAGUCAUCUUGUUAUCGUCUACUACUUGUCAUUUUCAUAUAAAGAUUGCGUGGGAUUUAGGCAUUUUGCAAGACUCUUGUUAAGUUUUCUAGAAGAGACACACAUUCACUUGUAAAGGGUAGGGACCUGUGACAAAGACGUUUAUCAGGCUCUUGUUUAGUGAAAUUGAAAAUAAUCACAUGUGAGCUUAGAAACCGAAAGAGAGGGACAAAGAUGUCGAAAUCAUUGUUUCUCAUAGUGGCCAUAGAGCAUGGGAAAUGAACUUCCCCACUUUAGGGUUAUCCAAGAAAUGAAACUGGUGGCUCAAAGAUGAUGGUGAGGAAUAUAUGUCUGCUUAUGUAUUAUGACACUCUUUGGCUUAGUUGUGGUGUUUUAGGCUUUUGGAUAGUAGCCACAUGGGUGAGUCUUGUGAUUUCAAGACAAUGGACCCUUCACACUUUACCCUCUUGCCUCUUAUUUUUUCUAAUUCCUUGUCUUCUUCUUGUUUCAUCUUUAUCAAUUUUGUUUUUGUGAGAAUUAUAAAUUGUAUAAACAAAGAAAAUUUGUUUUUAAAAUCAAGAUUUAUCUUAAACUUUAAUAGAAGAAGGUGUUGGGGCUUUCGGUUGAUGUCAACUAAGGAAUGAAUUGAUAGUGUCUACGAGUUAUAACCACAACAGGUGUGCCAAUUAAAUUCAGCCAUCUGUCACCAUCAUCUCACUGUCCCCACUCUUUGAUCCCACACCACUCAUCUUUUUGACUUUUCUUUACUCACAUUUUCAUUUUUUUGGGUCAAAUUUCUUAUUUGUUUUUGGUUAAAUUCUAAAAAUAAUACACUUUCUACAUUGUUUUGUACUUAAAAGUCAAAGUUGUAGCUAGUAACUAAGCCAAUAACAUCGUGAAAAGAUGAAACAAGCGCCGAGAUAAGUUCAUCUCCAUUAUAUCCACAGGGAUCAUGAUGAUCAUUACGAUUCUGCUUUUGUUUUUUUAGUUUAACACACAAAUUUUUUGAACAAAACAAUAUCAUCAAGGACGGUGAAGAAGUAGAUGAACACAAGGCAUCGACCUCGAGGAUGGCUUCAUAACAAAACAAAAGAUUAGGUUCUCGCCUAAAGCAUUAAUGUUCUAAUUUUCACAUGGGAACAUACAUCCUUUAUCAUUUGUGUGUAUUAAAACUAAAUGAAAAUUGAUAAUUAAGUGAUCAUCGUCUUAAGAGUAUUUCAGAAUACAUGUCUAGAUUCAUGCGGCUUAUUAAAUGUAACUAUUUUGGUGUUGUAAAAACAAAUGGUAACAACUUAACAACCAAACCAUCUAAUAUGAGCUUUUAAGUGAAAAUAGUUGUAAUUAUUCAGUAGUUUCUUCAUAUGUGUCUAGAACAAAACUCUUUUUUAUUGAAUAGACAUUUUCGGUCAUCACUGAAAGGGUAACUUUAUAGAAAUGUUUUGUCUUAGAUCUAGAUGACAUUGUUGGGGAAAAAAACAAAAUGUACCUCUAUGUUUUUCUUUGUUGAGGGAAGUGGGCAUUUAUGUAUGUUUCAAUAAUGUCCAAAUAUGGUAACAAAAUACACGUGUCCGUAUAUGCAAAAUAAACACAAUGGUUUUGCGAUAUCUGUUUUUUGUCGAGUCCUCCUUAUGUAUGUAUCUCCUCAAGUACGUACUUUUGUUACAACUUACAAAUCUCUUUUACUUCGUCCGUAAUCUAUGUACAUACAUAUAUGUAUCUAACGGGCCAUGGUCUAAUUUAUAUGAUAUUAAAGGUAAGAGAAGAAAAAAUGGACAUUUAUUUUGUAAAAUUGUCUAAGUAUGUAAAGGCAAAAGGGAGACAUUGUAGGGCAACGUUAUAAUCCCUACCAAAAUUUGUUUUGUAUACAUUCUUUCACAGUUUUAAUUGCAUCUCUCUCUUGUCCUUGUUGGCUCUGUCCUCAUUGUUUAUUUGCCCUUGCCUCCUACAUGCCACAUGAUUUUGCUUUCACAAGAACAAAGAAUCUAGGUGUCCUAAUGAAUCAAAACAUGAAAUUUGAUUGGUUUUAGUUUUUCUACAUAUAUAUGAUGUUGGUAUAUACAAAUCAUUGAUAAAUUUUCUAGAUAUAUGAUUAGUUAGAAAGUUCAGUUUCAUUGGACUUUAGUCUAUUCGAAACAUUGUAUCCUCCAUCUUUAAUUGGAAGGCGUAGAGAAACUAGAACUCGAAUCCGUGUACAUGCUUUGCCACAAACUAGUAUACAAUUUUUUCCCCUAUAUAAACAUACGUGUCUACGUGUGUUUUCAUUGUUUAUCCCAAUGCAAAAUCACUCCAUGUGUUUCUAAUGGUUAGUCGUUGAUUUGGUGUACAAGACUAUAUACAUAUUAUCUAAUGAAUAAUUUUGUCAACGUCAUAAUUAAUCAACCUAAUUAUGAUAAGAAAUUACAAAGUAACCAAAUUGUAAGAGUUAGUGUUGUUAAUUUAUCAUUCAUUAAAUUAAUAGUUAAUUAAAUCACUUGCCCUAAACGGAAUGGUAUUAUGUAAUUUUAAUUUUACCGUUUGAUCUUUGUUUGUCAGCAUAAUUUGAUGUUUUGUCCUUAUAUAUAUACAUGCAAAUUUAAAUGUUAUAACAUUCAUAAAAUAGUGACAUAUAUAUAUAUAUAUAUAUUAUACAUGCAAAUUUAAAUGUUAUAACAUUCAUAAAAUAUUGCCACUAUUUGGUCAACGUCAUAAGUAGCCAAACCUAUUUAAUUAUAAUCAACGAACUAUACUACCCAAUUUGAUGAAGAAAAAAAAACUAUAGCCCCCAAUUUUAAAAGUAUAGUGAUAUACUGCAUUAAUGAUUAUUUCUCUAUUAAUUUAUUAGCCUUCCAAACUGUCCAUAUAAAUACUUCUCCAUUGUACCUCUUACCUCCAUAUAACAUUCUUCAAGCAAAAACUAAUUCCACAAAAGAAAAAAAAAGAACAAUGGCAAUAAAGAGAUCGAGCAAAGCGACGUCGUCUCAAGCAGCAUCUAUCAAGCAAAUAGUAAAGAGAUGCUCGAGUCUAAGAAAGAUGAAGAACGUAAAUGGUUGUUACUAUAACCAAGAAGAUGAUCUUCCUCAAGACGUGCCAAAAGGUCAUUUUCCGGUUUACGUGGGACCGAACCGAAGUCGGUACAUCGUUCCUAUCUCAUGGCUCCAUCACUCCGAGUUCCAAACAUUGCUCCGACUAGCUGAGGAAGAAUUUGGGUUUGACCAUGAUAUGGGUCUAACCAUUCCUUGUGAUGAAGUCUUCUUCAGGUCUCUUAUCUCCAUGUUUAGAUAAAGCCCGAUAUCGGAGACAGAUUAUUAUUCUUGAAGAAAAGAUUUCUUUAUUGGAAAGAAAAUUUGAAGCCGAGAUCAGUAAAUCCAAAAACAAGAAACAAACUCAUUUUUUAGGGUUGUCUGAUUAAGAUGCAAGAACAUGGCUAAAAAGCUUCGUAGGCAUUAACCCGUUUGUGGUUUUUUUCUUUGCUAAAUUUAUUAGUCAUUUUCUCUUUUAAAUAUUUUGUUGUAGUUGGGGUGGGGUGGGAGACUUUUUCCCUCAAGUCAACGUAAAAUGUUGAUCGAUGAUCUUGAGAGGAUUAGCUAGUUAACUUCUAAAACUUUAUUGGUUAAGAUCAAUCAAGAAUCCUCAAUAGUUUUGGUGGUUUGUGCUAACGAUGUUUAUGUGUUAUCAUCGUUCGAGUUAAAAUCCGCGUAAUAUAUAAUGUUGUUUUAUAAAAAAAAUUAGUACAUGAAUGGUCCAACAAUUCAUAACUCACGUUCUUAACCUAAUUUGUGACUAAGACUAACUAAUCAUGUGUAAACAGCUUUCUAUUUCUUCGAAAAAUUUAGAAUUACAAAGACAUAGUUUCGUAUGACAAAGUAUCACGGUGUCCAUCAUUUGACAAAAGUAAUGAUAGAAAUAUUACUUAGCAUCUUUAUAAAAGUAAUACUUUCUCUUUUACUAAGAUACAGGUUACGAGAUUAAUCAUAAAACACUCGAGUCAUAAAACAAUUUGUUUUGUUUUCUUUCAACACAAAAGUUUUGCUAUACGUGUAUUCAAUAUUUAUUUGUCGGUGUGUCAAUCACCGUAAUUUGACUCAUUUCCUUUUACAUGUAGACGUAGCAAGUAGUAUUUCAAAAGAUUUUAUGUGUAUAUAUCAAUUAUAUUGAGUCAGAUUUUUGUGAUGGAUCAUUAUGGUCCUACCAACCAGAGUCCCUACAUAUACUUGUAUCUGUGCGAAUUUAUAGUUGUUACCUAAGCUACAAAAAAAAUUGAAGAGAUCUUCCGUAAUAUAGAUGAACUAAUUUGAUGUCCCAUUAUGUUUCUCGUAAAAGAAGAAAUACAUGUGUAUUUGACAAGAUGGUACAUAGACCGCUAAACCAUCAUGUCCUAACAAAGUAGAUUGGUAUCAUUUGCAAAAUAUGUCACUUAACAUUAAUGUUCUUCAUUCCUUAAUACCAGUCUACUUGAUGAGUCUCUCCUCUUUUUGAUGAGCUAGUCUCGCACUUUUUUUCAUCUCUAACUUUUGUAUUUUAUGAAAUGUUCAUAGACUUUAUUCAAGGCACAUUACUAUCAUAUAUCUGGAUUUAAAUUGCCAUACCGUAUUCACGAGACAAUUUAUAUGUAAUAACAAUUUAAAAAAUGCAUUGUCUGCUCAGAAGCUAGCUUGCCCAUAUUGUGUGUUCUUCUAACAAUUUUUUAUUGUUUCUUCUGAGGGUUUUUGCAUUAAAUAUGUUAUUGUUGACAUCAUAGAUGCUAGUGGAUAUAUCAUCGACGACGAACUCGAGUUGCUUAAUAAUUAUUUCCAGUUUCAUACAUCAUCAUCAUAUUAUAGAACAUAUACCUUUAUCAUAUGUAUCUCAAAAAUCUAUAAUCAGCUUGAUAUUAACUUAUUCUAAAGUUCAAAUCAGUUUUAACUUUUAAGAAAAUAUUAUGAGUUUUCUAAUUUGAUUCGGUUUUCGCCGGGUUAACCUGAAAUCGGAAUCUGGAUUGGACAAAGUACAAACCGUGGGUUAGUAUUAGUAACAUCCAAUUUGGGCUUGCCCGUAUUUGUCUGCUCAGAAGCUAGCUUGCCCAUAUUAUGUGUUCUCCAAAGAAUUGUUUAUUGUUAUUUUGGAGAGGGUUUUUGCAUUAAAUAUGUUCUUGUGUUGACAUUAUUGAUUAUUAGAUGCUAGUGAUAUACCAUCACCAAAAUUAGAAUUGCAUUAUCAUCAUUUUAUAUAUCAAUCUAUAUAUUUAUCAUAUGACUCAGACUAUCAUGAGACGCAUUUUUUUUAAGUAUUAUGAAUAAUAUACCACUUGUUCACGUUUUAACGUUUGAAAAACAUGAUUUUGCUACUUUUUACGAUUCAAAGUAUUUAUUAAGAAUUUACGUUCUUGAAAAGUGAUUAUACUGUAUAUAUAACUAUAAGUAAAUAAAACUUUUUUCGACGAAAUUUCUGAUGAUAAAUAAAAGGUCGGAUAUAUUUGACUUUUUUUUUUUUUUUAAUUAUUUUUUGACGAUAAAUUUUUCGUUGAAAAAUCAUCGAAAUUUUCGACGGAUUCCAAUGAUCAAAAAUUCGUCAAUAAUUUCCAACGAUAUUCUGACUAAACUAAAUCUGAUGAAAUAUUUUUGACGGCUUUCCAACCAAAAUAUUUCGUUGUGACUUGUCAAAAAUCCGUUAGAAUACUAAGCAACUUUUCGACAGAUUUUCAGCAAAAAUAUUCGGUAAUAUAACGUGUUAAAAAUAUGAUAAAAAAAAAAACUUGAUGAAUCUACUAAAACUAAAUUUUCAAUCAUAUAUAUCUAUUAUUCAUAUAUUUCAUUCAUUUUAUUAUUUUUCUCUUAACAAUUAUUUAGUUAUUCUGGUAUCGUGUAAUUAUAUUCAUAUGAUUUAUUCUGAUAUUGAUUCGGUUAGCAUCCGGAUAAAUCUGGGUUGGGCUUUUUAACUUGGUUUUUCUAAGAAAAAUUCUAAUAUGAUUUGGUUAGCAUCCGGAUUAGUCUAGUUUGGUAGGCCUGCCUUUGUGAUUCUUAACUCGGUCUUUUGUAUGGGUUUGAACAAUUACUACACCAUUUAGAUUCUUCUGACCCAUAUCAAAUAAAGAUCCACUUAGGCCCAUUAGGGUUAGAACAAACAUGAGGUUGCAGAAUAAAAAGGGUUCAUUUUCCUCACUCUCAAGUUGGAUCUCAAAACCCUAAUAUCUGAACUUCGCCGUCGAGAGCAUCCAUGGGUCGUGUCAUCAGAGCUCAACGUAAGGGUGCGGGUUCCGUCUUCAAAUCCCACACUCACCACCGCAAAGGUCCGGCUAAGUUCCGUAGCCUCGAUUUCGGCGAGAGAAAUGGUUACCUCAAGGGCGUCGUGACGGAGAUCAUCCACGAUCCUGGUCGUGGUGCUCCUCUUGCUCGUGUCACUUUCCGUCAUCCUUUCCGUUUCAAGAAACAAAAGGAGCUCUUCGUCGCCGCCGAAGGUAUGUACACCGGUCAGUUCUUGUACUGCGGUAAGAAAGCUACUCUCGUCGUUGGAAAUGUUCUCCCUCUUAGAUCUAUUCCUGAAGGAGCUGUUGUCUGCAACGUCGAGCAUCACGUCGGUGAUCGUGGUGUCCUCGCUAGAGCUUCUGGUGAUUACGCCAUUGUUAUCGCUCACAACCCUGACAGCGACACUACUAGGUUUGUUUCUCUUAUCCAAAAAUCUUCUGAGGCUUAUAAACAUUUUCAGAUCUGUUGAUUGUUUGUUGUAGAUUAUGAUGAUCUUAAUCAGAUUAAUUAGAAAAUGCUUAUGUAUCAUUGGUUAUUUAGUGUAGUUUAUGAUGAUGUUAAUGGAAUCAUUUCGUUAAUUAGAAAUGCUUGUGGUAUAGUUGUUGUAGUCUUGUGAAUGAUGAUUUGAGUAUAUGUUUGCGCAGGAUUAAGUUGCCAUCGGGUUCGAAGAAGAUUGUCCCAAGUGGAUGCAGGGCUAUGAUUGGACAAGUUGCUGGAGGUGGAAGAACUGAGAAGCCGAUGCUCAAGGCAGGAAACGCGUACCACAAGUACCGUGUGAAGAGGAACUCAUGGCCUAAGGUUCGUGGUGUGGCUAUGAAUCCAGUGGAGCAUCCUCAUGGAGGAGGUAACCAUCAGCACAUUGGUCACGCCAGUACUGUUAGGCGUGAUGCACCUCCUGGACAGAAGGUUGGUCUUAUUGCUGCAAGGAGGACUGGUCGUCUCAGAGGUCAAGCUGCUGCUUCAGCUGCCAAGGCAGACUAGAGUUAAAAGAGAUAAACUUUGUUUCUCUUGUUUUCUAUGUUUCAAGUUUUGUUGUCUGUGUUUCCUUUUGAACCUCAUUCUGAAAUCCUAAAAGAUUUUUAUGAUAAACCUUUCUCUCUUCUCGAAAAGCUUAUGUUAUUCACAUUGCAUACUCUCAAUACGCAAAGUUUUCAUUUUGUACAUAUGAAAAUUAUGUAAGAACAACGUAACCAAUUCUCGUGAUCGUUAAAGUGGUAGUUGAAUUGCAGAUUUUCAUCGAAACAGCAGCCCGCCGCAUUGCUAUCACAAAGAAUCAAGUCUUUGGUGUUAGUCGAAUUGAAGCAAUCUGAAGUACCUAAAAAAAAAUUACAAGGAAUCUUAAAAACGAAUCUUGCAGCAAACCUUCAAAAUGACACAGAGGACUCAAAGACAUUUAUGUGCGUAAUACAAGUCUGAUUCUAUAGUUGAUUAGCUGAGUUUUGGUAAUGUGUAAUAUUUGUGUUUAUGUGAUUGAGAUUUACCUAAAUUGUCUUUGUCCAUCAAUUUUUAGCGUUUGAGACUUUGAGGAAUUGGUUUUAGUAUCUGAUCCAAUAGCUAGAUUUGUGUUGCUCUUGCUCUAUAAUUGUCUUCCAGGUUGAAUAUGGUCCAAGGAUAAUUGGUUAUCGUCGGCUCUUAGAUGUAUUCUGCUCUAGUCAUGAUUCUAGACAAGUGUUUGGACAAGGUCCUGAUGUGGGUAACCAAUACAGGUAAAAGAGCUGUUUGGUUAUCUUUGAGUUUGUUUGUUUGGCCCAAAUCUAUAACAUUUGAAUAUAUGUUGAACAGAUCCUGUAUUUUCACUAACUGUACAGAAGAGUUGAGACUGGCUUCUACCAGCAAAGAAAGGGAGCAACUUAAUACAAGAAGCAGUAUCGUGACUUCUCUCUUGUCGUUGACUCCUCUCUUCACGAGUCUCAUCUCCGACGCUUCUUCUCUUUUCUUCUGUUGCUUUGGUUCUCAUCUUCAUCACACUUAUUGCAAGUUUGAUCAAAGGCUCAAAAUCCAACAAAAUUCACCAUUUUAGACACCUUGGGAAGCACGUUAGCCGGAAAACCUUGAAAAACCCACAAGGGUUUUCAAUGCGCCUCCUUUGGAUAAUUGGAUCAUACAUACACCAUUAUUGGAUAAUACUCUCUUGAGUCAUGAAGAUUAACAGAAAACAACAUAUCAUCAAUAACACAAGACGGCUCUUGCCUCAGAUCACUCAACUUAUCUAUUUCUCUCCUUGACUUCAAAUUAGUUUCCCUGGGUUGGUAAGCAUAAGAACAGAACCGUGCUUAUCCCUCAUGUCAAAUUUUCUCUUCCAUCACCACAUAUGUCACAAACUCUCAGUCGCAGAGGUGCGUAGGUUCGGACAGAAGGUCUUAUUGCUGCUAGGAGGAGAGGUCAAGCUGCUGCUUCAGCCGCCACUAGGGUUGUUAAACAAUAAAUAAAUUAAAAAAAAACAUUUGCUUCUCUUUUAUAUGUAUAUAUAUCCGUUUGGACCUUGUUCUCAAAUUGUAAACAUUUUUAUGAUAAUCUUUGUCUUCUCUCUCGAAAAGUUUAAAGUAUUAUUGCAAAUUGUAAAAAGUUAUCAUCGCAAGUUUUGAUUAUUGUUCUCGACCGAAUAAUUUUAAUAUUUAAACGAACCGUAUCAAACCGAGUAUUUGGUUAUAUGUUUAAAACGUCUUUAAGUAUCAACUAAGUAGAAAUAUGGUCACCAAUUGCUAACUGGUAAAAGCGGUUGAGACUCAGCAUGAUGAGAGAGUCUCACCACGGUUCGAGUCGCGAUAUUGGUACCUCGCUCCUACCAAAAGGAAUCAUGCCUUAAUUGUUAGCCGAAAUAAAGUAAUCUAAAUCACUUCUUUU